AUUGAACGCUGGCGGCAUGCCUUACACAUGCAAGUCGAACGGCAGCACGGGGCAACCUGGUGGCGAGUGGCGAACGGGUGAGUAAUGCAUCGGAACGUGCCAUUGAGUGGGGGAUAACGUAGCGAAAGUUGCGCUAAUACCGCAUAUUCUGUGAGCAGGAAAGCAGGGGACCGCAAGGCCUUGCGCUCUUUGAGCGGCCGAUGUCAGAUUAGCUAGUUGGUGAGGUAACGGCUUACCAAGGCGACGAUCUGUAGCGGGCCUGAGAGGAUGAUCCGCCACACUGGAACUGAGACACGGUCCAGACUCCUACGGGAGGCAGCAGUGGGGAAUUUUGGACAAUGGGCGCAAGCCUGAUCCAGCCAUGCCGCGUGAGUGAAGAAGGCC
RNAcentral lists this ribosomal RNA (384 nucleotides) under uncultured bacterium. RNAcentral's name for it is "bacterial SSU rRNA". It matches the Rfam family "Bacterial small subunit ribosomal RNA", at positions 30 to 416 of the family's 1533-position model. The record is from RNAcentral.